UCGAACUCACUGAAUUGUUGAUGUGUUACUGAUUUGUUGGUCUGUGCAGGGGUUCACGAAGGUGAAGAACCUGGAGGGUGGCUACCUCUCCUUGCUCAAGAGCGUCAGUUACCCACAGCAGGCAGCAGCAGCCAUCCACCACUAAUACAGCCGGGAUGAUUUUCCUUUGUUUUUCAAGGCUCUCAGGAACAAGUUUGGUAAUCUAUUAUUUACGAUGUACAGAGGAAAUUGCCAAGGAAAAGAAGGCAUUUUGUAUGUAUAAAACUAUAUAGGCAUCUGAGACUUGGACUUGGGCCAACCAAUAGUACUACUGCUACCAGAUUUUUGAUUGGUUUUCUUUGAGAAUGUAUGGACAAGAAGGGAAAAAAAUGUUUGCAGGCGCAGUUGGUUACCCACCCAUUUGGGUGUCUAUGCUCAUAGUACUUAGUAGUUCUCUACCUGUUCUUUCCUUUCAUACAGCUGGUCAAAUUGGAAGAAAUGCAUUUUUAUACCACAGAAAUUGGGACAUUAAAUUUUUAGAUAAGAGUGCGUCGAUACAACCCCUAAUUGUUUCUUAAAAGGUUUUGUUUUCGUCCAACACGAUUAAUCCAAAAUGAGUUACCAGUUGGGUGAUUAGGUUCACUUCGCAAAUACAAGAAUAUUUCAUCAGAAUUUGUGAAUUAAUGCAAAUGAAAUAUAAAAGUUUGUUAUAUAUAGGCUCAUAGGUCAAGUUGUACCGAGUCAAAGAAAGCUGAUGCCUUCUUCGCAAAAAAAAAGGAGAAGAGAAAGUCGAUGGCACUGAAAUUUCUUAGGUCGUCGUCAACACUAUUGCCACCAACAUCAUCGAGGUAGUAACCAACAUCAUCGAGGUAGUAACCGACGUCAACACUAUCGUCAACACUAUUUCUUAGGUGCGCCCCCACCCAUGAGGGUGGUUGUACCAACACCAUCGCAACCAAGAUCCAGGCUAUCAAUGUCAUUGUUGUGGCUGAGGGCCCGGACGCACAAAGGUAUUUGUCCGUGGUCCUUGCGCUAAUGGAGGAAAGAGAGAUGGUGAACCAAAUUGCAGAAAGUAUGCUCGGAUGACGAGGCGUCAUUGGCAUGAACUGUCAGCUCUUAUGGACCAGCCAUAAGAGGGUAGCUCUUAUGGGCCAACCAGUUACCAGUAGCAUGAUCCGCCUGCUCAUUUUUCUUGAAUCACAGAUACUAAUGAUUUGUAUUUUAAUGGUCCUAGAUCUAUUAUAAUAGUUCACCAGAAGUACAAUGCACCCCAAAUAUAAUAGAAAUUACAUCCAAGUCUCUAGACCACCGAAUAACCACUAUCACCGCCAAAGGCGUCGACGCGCCGCUGUUGCCACUUCCCCACUAGAGCCAACCUAGCAUAGUGAUGACAAAGUGCUCUUGGAGACACAAUCGUCUUCGUUGAACCAUUGAACCGAUCAGAAGCGUCUUUGACCAGAUCUUUCCAUCAUACAUCACGAGAAGAACCCUAGCCGCACCGUCCCAAGGAUACACCAUGAAUCCAUGUGGAAGCUCCACCGACUCUGUCUAGGCGAACAAUAUGAGAAGGAUAGCAGCAUGGAAGACCAUAUCGAUGAAAAAGCACCGUCCAUGCAAGGACUAAAAAAAAACUAUAAUCUAACCUACUAGUCGGAGCUGAGGAACAUGGAUUUGCCGUCGGAACAUGGAGGGGAAGAGUUUGGCCUAGUUAAUCUAACUUAAUCUAACCAAGGCGACAUGCAGAGGGGAGGAGAAUCCAUGGGCUUGCCGUCAGAGCAUGGAGGGGAAGAGUGUUUGCCCUAGUUAGCUCUUAUACGAUGGGAAGGGAAGGAAAAGUAUCCAAGGGAAAAUAAUUAUGAAGGAAAAAUAUUUUAAACUAUAAUAGAUAAACUUAACUAGUAAAAUGAAACAAAAAUGUUCACAUGUAUUAAAAUAAUAUUUAUCAUGCAUAGAAAAAAUAUUUUGGUAUUAAAAGUGUUCAUGUAUUUGAAAAAAAAUGAUUUGAGAAAUGUUGUCCCCAUAUGUAUGAAUGUAUGCGCAUGACAUUUAAUAAAAAAAAUCUUGUUGUGUUUUUUUUUGCAUUUUUUGUGUAGUUUACUCCCUUGAUUCAAUGGAUAAAUAUACAUAUUGGAUAUUUACACAUUAGUCAAAACAAAAUUGGCGACCAAAGCAUUGGAAAACUAUUCUUUUGGAGAAAUGAGAUGCAAGGGAAUUGUGCCGUGUGUGCAAGGCAUGGGUGAAAUGAAAUGGCCAUGGAUAGGAUAAGAGGACAAGGAGGAGGAGGAGGAGGUGGAGGAGCCCCCACCGAUGCAAUCCUUUUCAUCCCCUCCAUGAUUGAAUUGUUUGCUCCCUGCAGUGGAAAGAAACCGUUGUGUCGUUGUUGAUCAACAGGAUCCUUUCGCUUCACUUAUCAGUGGAGUACGUGGAUCACACUAGACGAGGAGAUAAUUCAACUGAUCUGAGCAUUUCUUUAUUGUCCCUCUGGCGUGUCGCCGCGUCAUCAUGGAAAUCGUGACCACUUGUCCUCUUCUUACCAAACAUAUAUACAUAUUGUUGCAUCUUGUAGACAACUGCCAGAUCAUGGCUGCCUGGCUACAUUUUCGUAUCAACAAUGCCCAUGAACAUGAUCACUUGGCACAAAACCCUUAUAAAAAUACGGUGCAAAAGGAGAUUCUUAUACACCAUGUCAUUUCAUAGAAAACAAACACAACAAGCACGUAUAUAUGUAGUUGACAUUUCCAUGUAUCUAAUUUAUGUAAGGUAGGCGACUUUAGACGAUCAUGAAGUGAUGGAUGCGGCUACCCGGGCCGUGAUAUGUUCGACCGCUGCCAAGUCAUCAUAUUUUCCUAUAAAUGACACCAGUAGGUAGCACCUAUCUUUCCAUAACCCAAUCCACUCCACGGCCUCUGGAGACCACCACACACGGAACCGGAAGCCCUUUCCUCCCCGGUGCUCAAUCCUCCAUAGAUGGGCUCCCUGCGAAGCAGCACGAGCACGGCAGUGGACAGCGUGGACGCGGAGGCGGCGUGCGCACUGCUGGCCUUGGAGCAGUACGGGUACGUGGACGUGCGGAUGUGGGAGGACUUCGAAAAGGGUCACGUUGCCGGUGCACGCAACGUGCCCUACUACCUCUCCGUCACGCCCCAUGGCAAGGAGCGCAACCCGGACUUCGUCGAUCAGGUUGCGGCGCUCCACUCCAAGGAGGACCGGUUCCUUGUUGGCUGCCGCUCUGGGGUCCGGUCCAGGCUCGCCACCGCAGACCUUGUCGCCGCUGUAAGUCCGUUUGUGAAUGGUUGAUUUUUUUGACUGGUGUUGGUAAGAUCACCAUCUCUGAUUGGGAUGUGAAUUCGUUUUGGUUUUCUUUGCAGGGAUUCGCAAACGUGAAGAACCUCGAAGGCGGCUACCUCUCCUUGCUCAAGAGCGCAAGUUACCAAGCAGCCAGCCACCAAUGAUCCAUCAAUUGAUUCUUUGGAGUUUGGAAAGUUUGUUAGUGACCUGUUUGUGUACUAUGUAUCUGUCAUCCUUCGUCUUAUGAAGAAGAAGAAGAAGAAGAAGAAGAAGAAGCAAGUCCUUUCGCUGAGGUGCACGGCUGGGAUUGAAUGUACUUCAAAGGGAAAACAAAGCAUUAUGUAUGUAGGUACGUAUAUUGGACCUGUUUGUGUACUAUGUAUCUGUCAUCCUUCGUCUUAUGAAGAAGAAGAAGAAGAAAAAAGUCCUUUAGCUGAGGUGCACGGCUGGGAUUGAAUGUACUUCAAAGGGAAAACAAAGCAUUAUGUAUGUAGGUACGUAUAUUGGACAUGGACUUUGGACCAACCAAUUUUCAAGAAAUAAAAAUGUGUG
RNAcentral lists this long non-coding RNA (3819 nucleotides) under Hordeum vulgare. RNAcentral's name for it is "long non-coding RNA (HVUL_LNC014495)". The record is from RNAcentral. Lineage: Eukaryota; Viridiplantae; Streptophyta; Magnoliopsida; Poales; Poaceae.